RNAcentral lists this ribosomal RNA (1542 nucleotides) under Flavobacterium sp. SL167. RNAcentral describes it as "bacterial SSU rRNA". It matches the Rfam family "Bacterial small subunit ribosomal RNA", at positions 131 to 1469 of the family's 1533-position model. The record is from RNAcentral. Lineage: Bacteria; Pseudomonadati; Bacteroidota; Flavobacteriia; Flavobacteriales; Flavobacteriaceae.
UUUUUUUAUUGAAUAUGGGUCCCCCCUUCCCCCGGCCNGACCAAAAAGCGAAAUCAGGGCGGAGGGUUUCACACACUAACAAUNGAAGAGGGGUAAAGGCCUUUUGGGACCUUUGAACGACCGGGCCCACAGGGGGGGGGAAAACCGGGUUUACCCAAUUCCGCCCUUCCCCAAGAAAGGGGAUACCCCCCAGGGAAAAUUUUGGGAUUUAAACCCUCCUAAAGCCAUCUAUGGCCCCGGCCAUCGGGGAAUAUGUUUAAAAUUCCCCAACGGUUGGAAAGAUAAGCCAUGGCUUCCCCAUUAGGCUAAUUGUGUAAAGUUAACGGGUUUACCCAAGGGUUACGAUGGGUUAGGGGUCUGGAAGAGGGAGAUCCCCCCCACACUGGGUACUGAAGCCCGGGCCCAAGAUUCUUACGGGAAGGCAGCCAGUGAGGAAUUUUUGUUCAAUGGGCGCAAACCUUGACCCAGCCAUUCCGGCGUGCAGGAUGACGGUCCUUAUGGAUUGUAAACUUGCUUUUGUACGGGGAAGAAACCCUUCUACCGUGUAGGAGCUUGACGGGUCCCGUAAGAAUAAGGAUCGGCUAACUUCCGUGCCAGCAGCCGCGGUAAUACGGAGGAUCCAAGCGUUAUCCGGAAUCAUUGGGUUUAAAGGGUCUGUAGGCGGUCUUGUAAGUCAGUGGUGAAAGCCCAUCGCUCAACGGUGGAACGGCCAUUGAUACUGCUGGACUUGAAUUAUUGGGAAGCAACUAGAAUAUGUAGUGUAGCGGUGAAAUGCUUAGAGAUUACAUGGAAUACCAAUUGCGAAGGCAGGUUGCUACCAAUGGAUUGACGCUGAUGGACGAAAGCGUGGGUAGCGAACAGGAUUAGAUACCCUGGUAGUCCACGCCGUAAACGAUGGAUACUAGCUGUUGGGCGCAAGUUCAGUGGCUAAGCGAAAGUGAUAAGUAUCCCACCUGGGGAGUACGAACGCAAGUUUGAAACUCAAAGGAAUUGACGGGGGCCCGCACAAGCGGUGGAGCAUGUGGUUUAAUUCGAUGAUACGCGAGGAACCUUACCAAGGCUUAAAUGCAGACUGACCGGUUUGGAAACAGACCUUUCGCAAGACGGUCUACAAGGUGCUGCAUGGUUGUCGUCAGCUCGUGCCGUGAGGUGUCAGGUUAAGUCCUAUAACGAGCGCAACCCCUGUUGUUAGUUGCCAGCGAGUCAUGUCGGGAACUCUAGCAAGACUGCCAGUGCAAACUGUGAGGAAGGUGGGGAUGACGUCAAAUCAUCACGGCCCUUACGCCUUGGGCUACACACGUGCUACAAUGGCCGGUACAGAGAGCAGCCACCCCGCGAGGGGGAGCGAAUCUAUAAAGCCGGUCACAGUUCGGAUCGGAGUCUGCAACUCGACUCCGUGAAGCUGGAAUCGCUAGUAAUCGGAUAUCAGCCAUGAUCCGGUGAAUACGUUCCCGGGCCUUGUACACACCGCCCGUCAAGCCAUGGAAGCUGGGGGUGCCUGAAGUCGGUGACCGCAAGGAGCUGCCUAUGAAAGAUUGGCCC